CGGACGGGUGAGUAAUGUCUGGGAAACUGCCUGAUGGAGGGGGAUAACUACUGGAAACGGUAGCUAAUACCGCAUAACGUCGCAAGACCAAAGAGGGGGACCUUCGGGCCUCUUGCCAUCGGAUGUGCCCAGAUGGGAUUAGCUAGUAGGUGGGGUAACGGCUCACCUAGGCGACGAUCCCUAGCUGGUCUGAGAGGAUGACCAGCCACACUGGAACUGAGACACGGUCCAGACUCCUACGGGAGGCAGCAGUGGGGAAUAUUGCACAAUGGGCGCAAGCCUGAUGCAGCCAUGCCGCGUGUAUGAAGAAGGCCUUCGGGUUGUAAAGUACUUUCAGCGGGGAGGAAGGGAGUAAAGUUAAUACCUUUGCUCAUUGACGUUACCCGCAGAAGAAGCACCGGCUAACUCCGUGCCAGCAGCCGCGGUAAUACGGAGGGUGCAAGCGUUAAUCGGAAUUACUGGGCGUAAAGCGCACGCAGGCGGUUUGUUAAGUCAGAUGUGAAAUCCCCGGGCUCAACCUGGGAACUGCAUCUGAUACUGGCAAGCUUGAGUCUCGUAGAGGGGGGUAGAAUUCCAGGUGUAGCGGUGAAAUGCGUAGAGAUCUGGAGGAAUACCGGUGGCGAAGGCG
This 628-nucleotide ribosomal RNA is filed under the name uncultured Pseudomonadota bacterium. RNAcentral describes it as "bacterial SSU rRNA". It matches the Rfam family "Bacterial small subunit ribosomal RNA", at positions 99 to 723 of the family's 1533-position model. Lineage: Bacteria; Pseudomonadati; Pseudomonadota. The record is from RNAcentral.